This 301-nucleotide ribosomal RNA is filed under the name uncultured bacterium. RNAcentral describes it as "partial 16S ribosomal RNA". It matches the Rfam family "Bacterial small subunit ribosomal RNA", at positions 509 to 809 of the family's 1533-position model. The record is from RNAcentral.
CAGCAGCCGCGGGAAUACAGAGGGUGCGAGCGUUAAUCGGAUUUACUGGGCGUAAAGCGUGCGUAGGCGGCUUUUUAAGUCGGAUGUGAAAUCCCUGAGCUUAACUUAGGAAUUGCAUUCGAUACUGGGAAGCUAGAGUAUGGGAGAGGAUGGUAGAAUUCCAGGUGUAGAGGUGAAAUUCGUAGAUAUUGGGAAGAACACCGGUGGCGAAGGCGGCAACCUGGUCCGAUACUGACGCUGAGGCGCGAAAGCGUGGGGAGCAAACAGGAUUAGAUACCCGAGUAGUCCCUGUCUCUUAUAA